RNAcentral lists this ribosomal RNA (252 nucleotides) under uncultured bacterium. RNAcentral's name for it is "partial 16S ribosomal RNA". It matches the Rfam family "Bacterial small subunit ribosomal RNA", at positions 85 to 334 of the family's 1533-position model. The record is from RNAcentral.
UGGGAGUGAGUGGGCGAACGGGUGAGUAACACGUGAGUAACCUGCCCCCUUCUUUGGGAUAACGCCCGGAAACGGGUGCUAAUACUGGAUAUUCACUGGCCUUCGCAUGGGGGUUGGGUGGAAAGGUUUGUUCUGGUGGGGGAUGGGCUCGCGGCCUAUCAGCUUGUUGGUGGGGUGAUGGCCUACCAAGGCUUUGACGGGUAGCCGGCCUGAGAGGGUGACCGGUCACAUUGGGACUGAGAUACGGCCCAG